GGAGAUUGCUGAUACCAGACUCGAAGAACAUGAGCACUAUGAUGUGUCUGCUUCCCCUUCACCUUCCAUCAUGAUUGUAAGUUUCCUGAGGCCUACUCAGCUAUGAUUCCAAUACAGCCUGCAGAACUAAUAAAGAGCCAGAGGAGUUCUGCUUUCCCAUGACUUACAUCACUCUGCAGACAAUUGGCAGCCAGGAGACGGGCAGCUGCCGCAAUCUUCAGAUUUCUCUCUAUUUAAAGUUCAAAGAGACGCUGGAUAACAAAAGAAAGAGGUAAGCGUGGCCUGACCUAGCCACCCACCAACAGGAAUAAUGGCUGAAAAAGCGGGGUCUACAUUUUCACACCUUCUGGUUCCUAUUCUUCUCCUGAUUGGCUGGAUUGUGGGCUGCAUCAUAAUGAUUUAUGUUGUCUUCUCUUAGAAAGGCAAGAAGAUAUCAGAUUGACAUCAUUUAGAAGAAUUAAGAAAACUAUGAACAUGACUGAUUAUUAAAUGUCUCAUGUUAAACAAUGCAAUGUUUGACAUCACUUUACAAACUUGGAUCAUAAACUGGCACUUUGGUAUGCAUAAGAAUUUCUUCAGGACAAUAAGAAAUUAUGAGUGAAUUUCUCUAUAUUCUGAGUGAGAAAAAUGUUUAGCUGUGAUGAAAAAUGCAUGUCAUUAAAAAAAGUUUGAUAAAUUUAAUCACAUUACAAAAAAUUAUCCCCCCUUCCCUCUGGAAAAAACUAUAGAGAAAGUGGGCUGAGGCUGUGCAAGGUGGCUCAUGCCUGUAAUCCCAGCACUUUGUGAGGAUCCUUUGAGCCCAGAAAUUGGAGACCUUCCUAGGCGACAGAGAGAGACCCCAUCUCUACAAAAAAAAAAAAAAAAAAAAAAAAAAAGAAAGAAAAUGGGCUAGAGAUAAAAACAGACAAUUCAGAGAACAUAUAAUGUAAAAGUACACUUACUUAAUCUCUUGUUCACAAAAAGAGAAAUGUAAUUAAAACUACACUGAGGAAUUGUUGCUCACUUAUCAGAUGGGAAAAAAAUAAAGAUGUUUGAC
Molecule: long non-coding RNA, 1036 nt
Filed under: Homo sapiens (human)
Lineage: Eukaryota; Metazoa; Chordata; Mammalia; Primates; Hominidae
Description: HSALNT0315533
Source: RNAcentral